GAUGAAGAACGUAGCGAAAUGCGAUAAGUAAUGUGAAUUGCAGAAUUCAGUGAAUCAUCGAAUCUUUGAACGCACAUUGCGCCCGCCAGUAUUCUGGCGGGCAUGCCUGUUCGAGCGUCAUUACAACCCUCAGGCCCCCGGGCCUGGCGUUGGGGAUCGGCGAGCCUUUCUGGCAAGCCGGCCCCGAAAUCUAGUGGCGGUCUCGCUGCAGCCUCCAUUGCGUAGUAGUAAAACCCUCGCAACUGGAACGCGGCGCGGCCAAGCCGUUAAACCCCCAACUUCUGAAUGUUGACCUCGGAUCAGGUAGGAAUACCCGCUGAACUUAAGCAUAUCAAUAAGCGGAGGA
RNAcentral lists this unclassified non-coding RNA (346 nucleotides) under soil metagenome. RNAcentral's name for it is "partial contains 5.8S ribosomal RNA, internal transcribed spacer 2, and large subunit ribosomal RNA". The stretch from base 1 to 120 matches the Rfam family "5.8S ribosomal RNA", at positions 35 to 154 of the family's 154-position model. The record is from RNAcentral.